Molecule: ribosomal RNA, 253 nt
Filed under: uncultured bacterium
Lineage: Bacteria
Description: partial 16S ribosomal RNA
Rfam family: Bacterial small subunit ribosomal RNA
Source: RNAcentral
UACAGAGGGUGCGAGCGUUAAUCGGAAUUACUGGGCGUAAAGCGCGCGUAGGCGGCUUUGCAAGCCGGAUGUGAAAUCCCCGGGCUUAACCUGGGAACUGCAUUCGGGACUGCAUGGCUAGAGUAUGGGAGAGGGAAGUGGAAUUUCAGGUGUAGCGGUGAAAUGCGUAGAUAUCUGAAGGAACAUCAGUGGCGAAAGCGACUUCCUGGACCAAUACUGACGCUCAUGUGCGAAAGCGUGGGGAGCAAACAGG